GGCUGGUCUGCUAGUGGCUCUCGUAGUCGUUAGUUGUACCUAGUCAUCCGUACGGGAAUCCCAUUCGGUCUUCACUGGUCGAUGGGUGGAUCGUACACUUUACUUUGAAAAAAUUAGAGUGUUUCAGGCAGGCAAUUGCUUGGAUACUGCAGCAUGGAAUAAUGGAAUAGGACUUUGACCUAUUUGUUGGUUUCUCAAGGUCAAAGUA
RNAcentral lists this ribosomal RNA (208 nucleotides) under uncultured fungus. RNAcentral describes it as "partial small subunit ribosomal RNA". The stretch from base 82 to 208 matches the Rfam family "Eukaryotic small subunit ribosomal RNA", at positions 734 to 864 of the family's 1831-position model. The record is from RNAcentral. Lineage: Eukaryota; Fungi.